GCCCGCUUGGCGGAAUUUGGUAGACGCAACGGACUUAAAAUCCGUUUUCCUUUAAGGAAGUGGGGGUUCGAAUCCCUCAGCGGGCACCA
This 89-nucleotide transfer RNA is filed under the name Alphaproteobacteria bacterium. RNAcentral's name for it is "tRNA-Leu". It matches the Rfam family "tRNA". From Rfam's summary of the family: Transfer RNA (tRNA) molecules are approximately 80 nucleotides in length. The record is from RNAcentral. Lineage: Bacteria; Pseudomonadati; Pseudomonadota; Alphaproteobacteria.